Mytilus californianus (California mussel) is the source of this 2154-nucleotide long non-coding RNA. RefSeq lists it as uncharacterized. Lineage: Eukaryota; Metazoa; Mollusca; Bivalvia; Mytilida; Mytilidae. The transcript has 4 exons. The record is from RefSeq and is a predicted model, not a curated record.
CCCUGCUGUCGGCCAUCUUGGAUAAUGGACCGACUGCAAAGUAACAACACUUGGUCAGCACCUCAUAAGGAACAUUCAUGCCAUGUUUGGUUUCAUUCCAUUCAGUGGUUCUCUAAAAGAAGACAUUUGUAUGUAUUUCCCAUAGGGUCCUAUGUUAAACUAAGUCCCCCGCUGGCGGCCAUCUUGGAUGAUGGACCGACUGCAAAGUAACAACACUUGGUCAGCAUCUCAUAAGGAACAUUCAUGCCAUGUUUGGUUCCAUUCCAUUCAGUGGUUCUCUAAAAGAAGACAUUUUUAUGUGUUUCCCAUAGGGUCCCAUGUUAAACUAAGUCCCCCGCUGGCGGCCAUCUUGGAUGAUGGAUCGGCUACAGAGUAACAACACUUGGUCAGCACCUCAUAAGGAACAUUCAUGCCAUGUUUGGUUUCAUUCCAUUCAGUGGUUCUCUAAAAGAAGACAUUUGUAUGUAUUUCCCAUAGGGUCCUAUGUUAAACUAAGUUCCCCGAUGGCGGCCAUCUUGGAUGAUGGAUCGGCUACAAAGUAACAACACAUGGUCAGCACCUCAUUAGGAACAUUCAUGCCAUGUUUGGUUUUAUUCCAUUCAGUGGUUCUCUAAAAGGAGUCAUUUGUAUGCAUUUCCCAUAGGGUCCUAUGUUAAACUAAGUCCCCCGCUGGCGGCCAUCUUGGAUGAUGGAUCGGCUACAAAGUAACAACACUUGGUCAGCACCUCAUAAGGAACAUUCAUGCCAUGUUUGGUUUCAUUCCAUUCAGUGGUUCUCUAAAAGAAGUCAUUUGUAUGCAUUUCCCAUAGGGUCCUAUGUUAAACUAAGUCCCCCGCUGGCGGCCAUCUUGGAUGAUGGAUCGGCUACAAAGUAACAACACUUGGUGAGCACCUCAUAAGGAACAUUCAUGCCAUGUUUUGUUUCAUUCCAUUCAGUGGUUCUCUAAAAGAAGUCAUUUGUAUGCAUUUCACAUAGGGUCCUAUGUUAAACUAAGUCCCCCGCUGGCGGCCAUCUUGGAUGAUGGAUCGGCUACAAAGUAGCAACACUUGGUCAGCACCUCAUAAGGAACAUUCAUGCCAUGUUUGGUUUCAUUCCAUUCAGUGGUUCUCUAAAAGAAGACAUUUGUAUGUAUUUCCCAUAGGUCCUAUGUUAAACUAAGUCCCCUGCUGUCGGCCAUCUUGGAUGAUGGACCAACUGCAAAGUAACAACACUUGGUCAAAACCUCAUAAGGAACAUUCAUGCCAUGUUUGGUUUCAUUCCAUUCAGUGGUUCUCUAAAAGAAGACAUUUGUAUGUAUUUCCAAUUGGUCCUAUAUUAAACUUAGAGCCCCGCUGGCGGCCAUUUUUUAUGAUGGAUCGACUGAAAAGUAACAACACUUGGUCAGCACCUCAUAAGGAACAUUCAUGCCAUGAUUGGUUCCAUUCCAUUCAGUGGUUCUCUAAAAGAAGACAUUUGUAUGUAUUUCCCAUAGGGUCCUAUGUUAAAAUAGUCCCCCGCUGGCGGCCAUCUUGGAUGAUGGAUCGACUACAAAGUAACAACACUUGGUCAGCACCUCAUAAGCAACAUUCAUGCCAUGUUUGGUUUCAUUCCAUUCAGUAGUUCUCUAGAAGAAGUUCAAAAUGUAAAGAGUUAAUGACGACGACGGACGACGAUGGAUGACGAACGCCAAUUGAUGAGAAAAGCUCACUAGGUGAGCUAAAAAGUGGGGAAAACUGAUUACUUGCAAAAAUUGUCGAAGUCCAAGGACCAUAACUCUGCACAAAAUCAUCAGACCGAAACAAAAUUCAAACUUUAUCUGUAACUGGUCAUGAUAAAACUAUAUACCAAAUAUCAAAUCAAUAUCUUCAAGCAUGAAGAAAAAAAGUUUGGAAAACUGAUUUGCCUGACUGAUGGAUGGACGGAGUGCAAACCUAAAGUCCCCUUCCACUUCGUCGGUAGGGGACUAAAAAUUACAGUGGAAUACAUAUAUUCCCCUUUUCCCACAUCAAUUGAGGGACAUGAAAAUAACCUUAACCUUCAAUAGAACAAAGGUUAAGAUAAGUCUUUGUCCUAGGGUACUCUCUCAGAAAGUAACAAAAUUAACAUUGAAGUUUAUUUCACUACUUAUUAAUUACAAAGAUAGUUAUGUAUAGUCAAGUUCUCAAUGAAAAAAAA